Non-coding RNA from Pelobates cultripes (western spadefoot toad), 294 nucleotides. Lineage: Eukaryota; Metazoa; Chordata; Amphibia; Anura; Pelobatidae. The record is from the annotation of a GenBank genome assembly.
AUUUACUCUGCGAAAAAGACCUUACAAAUGCAUAUUUACCUGGUGCUAUCAAGCCCAUAGAGUAUCACGACAGGAUGGCAAUCAGAGGGAGAAAUCCGCUUUAUUCAUAGCAUAGCUGUCGGCAUCGCCAAGAUGUCAGGGAAGAAGAGGGAGAGGAAACCUUGCCGAAAUUGAUGGAAGGAUGGAAGGAUAUCCAGGAACUGGGCUCCAGAACAUCCCAUGUGGAGUCAACAAUGAGCGAAGAUGCGGAGACACAUAAUGGCCUAGCAGAUCAACCUUGAAAAAAUAUCAGAG